This 816-nucleotide ribosomal RNA is filed under the name Daldinia bambusicola. Its description in RNAcentral is "partial large subunit ribosomal RNA". It matches the Rfam family "Eukaryotic large subunit ribosomal RNA", at positions 99 to 941 of the family's 3401-position model. Lineage: Eukaryota; Fungi; Ascomycota; Sordariomycetes; Xylariales; Hypoxylaceae. The record is from RNAcentral.
CGGCAACAGCUCAAAUUUGAAAUCUGGCCCUAGCGGUCCGAGUUGUAAUUUGUAGAGGAUGCUUUUGGUGAGGUGCCUUCCGAGUUCCCUGGAACGGGACGCCGGAGAGGGUGAGAGCCCCGUACGGUUGGACGCCAAACCUCUGUAUAGCUCCUUCGACGAGUCGAGUAGUUUGGGAAUGCUGCUCUAAAUGGGAGGUAAAUUUCUUCUAAAGCUAAAUACCGGCCAGAGACCGAUAGCGCACAAGUAGAGUGAUCGAAAGAUGAAAAGCACUUUGAAAAGAGGGUUAAAUAGCACGUGAAAUUGUUGAAAGGGAAGCGUUUGCGACCAGACCUUUUCCAGGCGGAUCAUCCGGCGUUCUCGCCGGUGCACUCCGCCUGGUUGAGGCCAGCAUCGGUUUCCUUAGGGGGAUAAAGGCCUGGGGAACGUAGCUCCUUCGGGAGUGUUAUAGCCCCUGGCGCAAUACCCCUCGGGGGACCGAGGACCGCGCUUCGGCAAGGAUGCUGGCGUAAUGGUCGUCAACGACCCGUCUUGAAACACGGACCAAGGAGUCGAACAUUUGUGCGAGUGUUUGGGUGUCAAACCCUCACGCGUAAUGAAAGUGAACGGAGGUGAGAGCCCUUACGGGUGCAUCAUCGACCGAUCCUGAUGUCUUCGGAUGGAUUUGAGUAAGAGCAUAACUGUUCGGACCCGAAAGAUGGUGAACUAUGCGUGGAUAGGGUGAAGCCAGAGGAAACUCUGGUGGAGGCUCGCAGCGGUUCUGACGUGCAAAUCGAUCGUCAAAUCUGCGCAUGGGGGCGAAAGACUUAUCGAACC